GAUGAACGCUGGCGGCGUGCUUAACACAUGCAAGUCGAACGGAAAGGCCUGCUUUCCCUUGUGGAUUGCGGGUACUCGAGUGGCGAACGGGUGAGUAACACGCGAGUGAUCUGCCCCCAACUUGGGUAUAAGCCCGGGAAACUGGGUCUAAUUCCCGAUAGGACUGCAGGGUUGUGCCUGUGGUGGAAAACGAUCUUUCAGUUGUUGGGGAUGCGCUCGUGUCUUAUCAGCUUGUUGGUGGGGUAAAGGCCUACGAAGGCGGAGACGGGUAGCCGGCCUGGGAGGGUGGACAGUGACAUUGAGACUGGGUCACGACCCAGACUGCUACGGGCGGUAGCAGUGCGGAAUAUUGGACCAUAAGCGGAACCGUGAUGCAGCGAGGGAGCGUGGGAGAUGACCGGAUUCGAGUUGUAAACUACUUUCGACCACGAGGUGUGCACCUAGUUGGGAGGGUCGUGACGGUAGUGAUAGAGAAAGCACCGGCUAACUACGUG
Molecule: ribosomal RNA, 494 nt
Filed under: uncultured bacterium
Lineage: Bacteria
Description: partial 16S ribosomal RNA
Rfam family: Bacterial small subunit ribosomal RNA
Source: RNAcentral